This 235-nucleotide ribosomal RNA is filed under the name uncultured Lactobacillus sp. Its description in RNAcentral is "partial 16S ribosomal RNA". It matches the Rfam family "Bacterial small subunit ribosomal RNA", at positions 128 to 355 of the family's 1533-position model. Lineage: Bacteria; Bacillati; Bacillota; Bacilli; Lactobacillales; Lactobacillaceae. The record is from RNAcentral.
GCCCAAGAGAUCGGGAUAACACCUGGAAACAAGAUGCUAAUACCGGAUAACAACAGAUGAUGCCUAUCAACUGUUUAAAAGAUGGUUCUGCUAUCACUCUUGGAUGGACCUGCGGUGCAUUAGCUAGUUGGUAGGGUAACGGCCUACCAAGGCGAUGAUGCAUAGCCGAGUUGAGAGACUGAUCGGCCACAUUGGGACUGAGACACGGCCCAAACUCCUACGGGAGGCAGCAGUU